RNAcentral lists this ribosomal RNA (254 nucleotides) under uncultured bacterium. RNAcentral's name for it is "partial 16S ribosomal RNA". It matches the Rfam family "Bacterial small subunit ribosomal RNA", at positions 524 to 776 of the family's 1533-position model. The record is from RNAcentral.
UACGUAGGGUGCAAGCGUUGUCCGGAAUUAUUGGGCGUAAAGAGCUCGUAGGCGGUUUGUCGCGUCUGCUGUGAAAACCCGAGGCUCAACCUCGGGCCUGCAGUGGGUACGGGCAGGCUAGAGUGGCGGUAGGGGAGAUUGGAAUUCCUGGUGUAGCGGUGGAAUGCGCAGAUAUCAGGAGGAACACCAAUGGCGAAGGCAGAUCUCUGGGCCGUAACUGACGCUGAGGAGCGAAAGCGUGGGGAGCGAACAGG